This 629-nucleotide long non-coding RNA is filed under the name Lonchura striata (white-rumped munia). RNAcentral's name for it is "domestica (Bengalese finch) lncRNA (ENSLSDG00000003691.1)". The record is from RNAcentral. Lineage: Eukaryota; Metazoa; Chordata; Aves; Passeriformes; Estrildidae.
UUUCCCCAAAUUCUCCAAAAUUCUACAAAUUCUCCCCAAAUCUCCCCAAUUUUUCCCUAAAUUCCUCAAACAUCCACAAAAAUUCCCAAAAAAUUCCCCGAAAAAUCGCCCAAAAUCCACAAAAAUCCCCAAAAAUCCCCAAAUAUGCCCCAAAAUCCCAAAAAGUUCCCCCAAAAAAAUCCCCAAAAAAUCCCCCAAAUUCCCCCAAAAAUCCCCAAUAUUUCUCCCAAAAUUCCCAAAAACCCCCAAAAUUCCCCAAAAAUUCCCAAAAUUCCCCAAAAUUCCCCAAAAAUUCCCAAAUUUCCCGAAAUUUCCCCAAAUUCCCCCAAGGAGCCGCAGCCGAAAUUCGGGUCCAGAAUUUAUUGGGGUCGGAUUUGGGAUUUGGGGAAUUUGGGGAAUUUUGGGUGAAUUUGGGGAAUUUUGGGGGAUUUUGGGAAUUUUUGGGGAGAUUUGGGGGAUUUUGGGUGAAUUUGGGGGAUUUUGGGGCUGCUCACGCCGCAUCGAUUGCCGCAGGGGCCCCUCGGACUCGUCCGGCUCCCCCGUCCUGCACCAGUACAGACCAGUUAGAACCAGUAUGGACCAGUUAGAACCAGUUAGAGACCAGUUAGAGACCAGUUAGAACCAGUACA